Molecule: small nuclear RNA, 92 nt
Filed under: Nomascus leucogenys (northern white-cheeked gibbon)
Lineage: Eukaryota; Metazoa; Chordata; Mammalia; Primates; Hylobatidae
Source: RNAcentral
AUGCUCAUUCAGCAGUACAUGAAUCAAAAUUGGAACAAUACAGAGAAGAUCAGCAUGCAGGGAUGACAUACACAUUUGUGAAGUAUAUUUUU